UGGGGAAUAUUGCACAAUGGGGGAAACCCUGAUGCAGCGACGCCGCGUGAGCGAAGAAGGCCUUCGGGUCGUAAAGCUCUUUUAUGAGGGAAGAUAAUGACGGUACCUCAAGAAAAAGCCCCGGCUAACUACGUGCCAGCAGCCGCGGUAAUACGUAGGGGGCUAGCGUUGUCCGGAAUCACUGGGCGUAAGGGGUUCGCAGGCGGAAUAACAAGUCAGAUGUGAAAGGCAUGGGCUCAACCCAUGUAAGCAUUUGAAACUGUAAUUCUUGAGAAGUGGAGAGAUAAGUGGAAUUCCUAGUAUAGCGGUGAAAUGCGUAGAUAUUAGGAGGAAUACCUGUGGCGAAGACGACUUACUGGACACAAGUCUGACGCUGAGGAACGAAAGCGUGGGUAGCAAACAGG
RNAcentral lists this ribosomal RNA (404 nucleotides) under Verrucomicrobiota bacterium. RNAcentral describes it as "Verrucomicrobia bacterium partial 16S ribosomal RNA". It matches the Rfam family "Bacterial small subunit ribosomal RNA", at positions 355 to 776 of the family's 1533-position model. Lineage: Bacteria; Pseudomonadati; Verrucomicrobiota. The record is from RNAcentral.